UACGUAGGGGGCUAGCGUUGUCCGGAAUCAUUGGGCGUAAAGAGCGUGUAGGCGGCUCGGUAAGUCCGCUGUAAAAGUCCAGGGCUCAACCCUGGAAAGCCGGUGGAAACUGUCGGGCUAGAGUCCGGAAGAGGCGAGUGGAAUUCCUGGUGUAGCGGUGAAAUGCGCAGAUAUCAGGAGGAACACCAAUGGCGAAGGCAGCUCGCUGGGACGGUACUGACGCUGAGACGCGAAAGCGUGGGGAGCAAACAGG
Molecule: ribosomal RNA, 253 nt
Filed under: uncultured bacterium
Lineage: Bacteria
Description: partial 16S ribosomal RNA
Rfam family: Bacterial small subunit ribosomal RNA
Source: RNAcentral